RNAcentral lists this long non-coding RNA (907 nucleotides) under Homo sapiens (human). RNAcentral describes it as "HSALNT0072735". Lineage: Eukaryota; Metazoa; Chordata; Mammalia; Primates; Hominidae. The record is from RNAcentral.
GUUAGACAUAUGUAUUUACUCUUUUAAAAAUAUGUUUUUGGGGGCAGAGCAAGAUGGUGAAAUAGAAGCCUACACUUUUCAUCUCCCCUGCUGGAACACCAAAUCUUAACUGUCUGCACACAGAAAAGCACUGUCACAGGAACCAAAAAUCAGGCAUACAGAGCAGUUUUCAAGCCUCUAUAGAAGUCAUCUUACAGCGAGUCUGAGCCAGUGAAAUGCAGUUAUAGUGAUAUGUGUACUCCCAAGGUAGCUGUCAAUGCUCCUACUCGGAAAUACUCAUAUGUUGCUUCUGACUUGAAGCAGAGGAACUCACAACCUAAGAAGCCACAGGCUUGAAGAUGGCAGAGCACAAGAUGGCAGAAGUUUGGAAUGAAUUACUACUUGAAAGAGAAGCUCUUAUUUACCAAGAAAUAUAUUUUGGAAUUUGCAUGAGUAAGAAAUAAAUCCAAUUAUGCUAACAUUAUCAUUGAAAUUAGAGACGUUUCUGUUAGAGUAGCUGUUGUUACCAUAGCUAAUAUAGAUGAAGAUUAUAUUGAUUUACCAGCAGCCAGAUUGAAUAGGAAAUUUAGGCCAGUGUAAAUCUUCACCUUUCCACCCUUUUUCAGGUAUCCCUGAUCUCCCUAUUUUGCUCUAAACAACCUUUAAUCAACAGUACCUUCGAGGUUCUGACAUUUAUAUUUUUUAGUGUUUGUUUUUCUUAUCUGCUUCCCCUGACCAAUGUAUAUUCCACAAAUAUAGAAAUCUUUGUCUGUUUUGUUCACCGAUUUAUCUCAAUCACCUAAAUCAGUUCUUUGUAUAGAAAACUUGCUCAAUAACACUGAUAAAAAAUUGGCUGACUCUAACUUAUUCCAAAGAAAAAUGAUGCUAUUAACUUUACUAAAAUUAAAUAUCUCUUUACCAAACCAAA